Molecule: ribosomal RNA, 253 nt
Filed under: uncultured bacterium
Lineage: Bacteria
Description: partial 16S ribosomal RNA
Rfam family: Bacterial small subunit ribosomal RNA
Source: RNAcentral
UACGGAAGGGGCAAGCGUUGUUCGGAAUCAUUGGGCGUAAAGGGCGCGUAGGUGGUUCUGUAUGUCUACCGUGAAAGCAUACAGCUCAACUGUAUUUUGUCGGUAGAAACUGCAGGACUUGAGGCUGGGAGGGGCUGGUGGAAUUCCCUGUGUAGCGGUGAAAUGCGUAGAGAUGGGGGAGAACACUCGUGGCGAAAGCGGCUCUCUGGAACGGUACUGACGCUGAGACGCGAAAGCGUGGGGAGCGAACAGG